CCUACGGGCGGCAGCAGUGGGGAAUAUUGGACAAUGGGCGAAAGCCUGAUCCAGCCAUGCCGCGUGUGUGAAGAAGGCCUUCGGGUUGUAAAGCACUUUCAGUGGGGAAGAAAGCCUUGGGGCUAAUACCCUCGAGGAAGGACAUCACCCACAGAAGAAGCACCGGCUAACUCCGUGCCAGCAGCCGCGGUAAUACGGAGGGUGCGAGCGUUAAUCGGAAUUACUGGGCGUAAAGCGCGCGUAGGCGGUCUGAUAAGCCGGUUGUGAAAGCCCCGGGCUCAACCUGGGAACGGCAUCCGGAACUGUCAGGCUAGAGUGCAGGAGAGGAAGGUAGAAUUCCCGGUGUAGCGGUGAAAUGCGUAGAGAUCGGGAGGAAUACCAGUGGCGAAGGCAGCCUUCUGGGCUGACACUGACGCUGAGGUGCGAAAGCGUGGGUAGCAAACAGGAUUAGAUACCCCGGUAGUC
RNAcentral lists this ribosomal RNA (465 nucleotides) under Vreelandella stevensii. RNAcentral's name for it is "partial 16S ribosomal RNA". It matches the Rfam family "Bacterial small subunit ribosomal RNA", at positions 338 to 795 of the family's 1533-position model. Lineage: Bacteria; Pseudomonadati; Pseudomonadota; Gammaproteobacteria; Oceanospirillales; Halomonadaceae. The record is from RNAcentral.